GGCCUCCCUCUGUGGGGCGAUCGAUCUGGAAGCCCCGUGAUUGAUCACCCUGCAGAGGGAGGCC
This 64-nucleotide microRNA precursor is filed under the name Myotis davidii. RNAcentral's name for it is "mir-9242 microRNA precursor family". It matches the Rfam family "mir-9242 microRNA precursor family". Lineage: Eukaryota; Metazoa; Chordata; Mammalia; Chiroptera; Vespertilionidae. The record is from Rfam by way of RNAcentral.